GCCUGCCCAGUGACAAGUUCAACGGCCGCGGUACCCUGACCGUGCAAAGGUAGCAUAAUCACUUGUUCUUUAAAUAGGGACUCGUAUCAACGGCAUCACGAGGGCUAUACUGUCUCCUUUCUCUAAUCAGUGAAACUGAUCCCCCCGUGAAGAAGCGGGGAUUUUGUUAUAAGACGAGAAGACCCCAUGGAGCUUCAAGCAACAUACUCACCUCUCACCCACCACAUCAGCUUAAUAUGUGGGGCCCUGAAUACUAGCUUUAGGUUGGGGGGACCGCGGAGUAAAACUUAACCUCCGUGAUAAACAGGCCAAGCCUUUAUCCACGAGCCACAGCUCUAAGAAUUAAUAAACUAAUGUUUAUGACCCAAUUACUUGAUCAACGAACCAAGUUACCCUGGGGAUAACAGCGCAAUCUACUUCAAGAGCCCCUAUCGACAAGUAGGUUUACGACCUCGAUGUUGGAUCAGGGCAUCCCAGCGGUGCAGCCGCUGCUGACGGUUCGUUUGUUCAACGAUUAAAGCCCUACGUGAUCUG
RNAcentral lists this ribosomal RNA (534 nucleotides) under Indosylvirana attigua (similar frog). RNAcentral's name for it is "partial 16S ribosomal RNA". It matches the Rfam family "Bacterial large subunit ribosomal RNA", at positions 1857 to 2607 of the family's 2925-position model. Lineage: Eukaryota; Metazoa; Chordata; Amphibia; Anura; Ranidae. The record is from RNAcentral.